Nomascus leucogenys (northern white-cheeked gibbon) is the source of this 113-nucleotide unclassified non-coding RNA. It matches the Rfam family "Y RNA". Rfam says of the family: Y RNAs are components of the Ro ribonucleoprotein particle (Ro RNP), in association with Ro60 and La proteins. The Y RNAs and Ro60 and La proteins are well conserved, but the function of the Ro RNP is not known. NCBI's taxonomy places the organism in Eukaryota, Metazoa, Chordata, Mammalia, Primates, Hylobatidae. The record is from Ensembl.
GGCUGGUCUGAAGGUAGUGAGUUAUUUCAACUGAUUGGUCACAGUCAGUUACAGAUCAAACUCUUCGUUCUACUCUUUCCCCACUUCUCACUACUGCAUUUGACUCAUCUGAA